CUUCCCCGCAGAGCUUUGCAAAGGCAAGUGACACUUGAUUGUUUUGUGAUGGGGAGGAUGGCUUCCGGGGGCGACCAGGAUGAGUUUUAAAUUCACGAGCAGUUGCAGGUCUGAGACUGACUGGGGAUGUUUGAAAAUCUGAGCUGCUGGCCAGAGCCUGCCACGCUGGUGAAUUCGGGAUGGAAGGGCAGAAGCACCAUAUGAGGGAGCAAGGCCCCUCAGCGUUGUGAAAAAGUGCUUGAAGAAAAUUACCUAGUGGGCAGCCAGGGACGGAGGGUUUACACUUUGGUUCACAUUUGAAGGUACAGUCCACCAUCACGAAGAAGGCAGUGUGGCAGAGUCACGAGGCAGCUGAUCAUGUGUCCACAUUCCGGAAGCAGAGCGAGAUAAACGUGCUCAGCACACGCCCCCCCACCCCUUUGUCUUGUUUUUAAUCUAUUUAUUACAAAAAUGUAUAUGGGCUGGAGAGGUAGUUCGGUGGUCAAGAGUCCUGACUGGUCAUCCAGAAGUCAAGUGUUCAAUUCCCAAGCCCCAAUAUGGCAUCUACAGAGGAUCCAGCGCCCUCUUCUGGCCCCUGCAUGCAUUGCGUGCACGUGGUGCACAGACAUAACUCAGGUAAAACACUUAUACACAUAAAAUUUAAAAAUCUAAAAAUUGCCAGGUCGUGCUGGCAUGCCUUUACUCCAGCACUCAGGACGCCGAGGCAGGCAGAUCCCUGAGUCUGAGAUCAGCCUGGUCCACAGACAGUUUCAAGACAGCCUUGCCUAGACAGAGAAACCCUGACAUGAAAAACAAGGAACAAAAAACAAACGAAAGUCUAAAUUAUUUAAAAGAGUAUGUUAUGUGUUCGUGUGUGGGCUUGGGUGCGCACUCCAUUUGUGCAGGAGCCUGGAGAGGUCAAUCCUGUGGAACCGGAGUUACAGGUGGCUGUGAGCCUCGACCUGGGUGACGGGAAUCAAAGGGGGGUACUCUGCAAGAGCACCUAGUGCUCUUCGCUUAGUGUUCCCUCCAGCCCCCAGCUCUCUCCUUUUCAUGCACUCAGCCAAUGGCACGAUGUCACUUAUAUUCAAAGUGGGCUUUCCCUCUUACAGCUCUCUGGAAACACCCUCACAUUAUUAUAAGGUCACGUUUCUAAGGCAGUGCCCCCGUUUGCCAGUAAGGCCUUCCUUAACAUUUCUUUUUUUCUUUUUUUUUUUUUUUUUUGGUAAAUUUGAAUAUGAAUUUAUUUUUUUUUUUUAUUAACUUGAGUAUUUCUUAUUCACAUUUCGAGUGUUAUUCCCUUUCCCGGUUUCCGGGCAAACAUCCCUCUAAUCCCUCCCCCUCCCCUUCUUUAUGGGUGUUCCCCUCCCCAUCCUCUCCCCAUUGCCGCCCUCCCCCCAACAAUCACAUUCACUGGGGGUUCAGUCUUAGCAGGACCCAGGGCUUCCCCUUACACUGAUGAUCUUACUAGGAUAUUCAAUGCUACCUAUGGGGUCAGAGUCCAGGGUCAGUCCAUGUAUAGUCUUUAGGUAGUGGCUUAGUCCCUGGAAGCUCUGGUUGCUUGGCAUUGUUGUACAUAUGGGGUCUCGAGCCCCUUCAAGCUCUUCCAGUUCUUUCUCUGAUUCCUUCAACGGGGGUCCCGUUCUCAGUUCAGUGGUUUGCUGCUGGCAUUCGCCUCUGUUUUUGCUGUAUUCAGGCUGUGUCUCUCAGGAGAGAUCUGCAUCCGGCUCCUGUCUGCCUGCACUUCUUUGCUUCAUCCAUCUUGUCUAAUUGGAUGGCUGUAUAUGUAUGGGCCACAUGUGGGGGCAGGCUCUGAAUGGGUGUUCCUUCUGUGUCUGUUUUAAUCUUUGCCUCUCUAUUCCCUGCCAAGGGUAUUCUUGUUCCCCUUUUAAAGAAGGAGUGAAGCAUUCACAUUUUGAUCAUCCGUCUUGAGUGUCACGUGUUCUAGGCAUCUAGGGUAAUUCAAGCAUUUGGGCUAAUAGCCACUUAUCAAUGAGUGCAUACCAUGUGUGUUUUUCUGUGAUUGGGUUACCUCACUCAGGAUGAUAUUUUCCAGUUCCAACCAUUUGCCUUUGAAUUUCAUAAAGGCAUUGUUUUUGAUAGCUGAGUAAUAUUCCAUUGUGUAGAUGUACCACAUUUUCUGUAUCCAUUCCUCUGUUGAAGGGCAUCUGGGUUCUUUCCAGCUUCUGGCUAUUAUAAAUAAGGCUGCUAUGAACAUAGUGGAGCACGUGUCUUUUUUAUAUGUUGGGGCAUCUUUUGGGUAUAUGCCCAAGGGAGGUAUAGCAGGAUCCUCAGGCAGUUCAAUGUCCAAUUUUCUGAGGAACCUCCAGACUGAUUUCCAGAAUGGUUGUUCUGAGUUCAGGGAUAGUGAUUCCCCCUGAAGUCCUUUUAUUGUUGAGGAUAGUUUUAGCUAUCCUGGUUUUUUUGUUAUUCCAGAUGAAUUUGCAAAUUGUUCUAACUCUUUGAAGAAAUGGAUUGGUAUUUUGAUGGGGAUUGCAUUGAAUCUGUAGAUCGCUUUUGGUAAAAUGGCCAUUUUUACUAUAUUAAUCCUGCCAAUCCAUGAGCAUGGGAGAUCUUUCCAUCUUCUGAGGUCUUCUUCAAUUUCUUUCUUCAGUGUCUUGAAGUUCUUAUUGUACAAAUCUUUUACUUGCUUGGUUAAAGUCACACCGAGGUACUUUAUACUAUUUGGGUCUAUUAUGAAGAGUGUCGUUUCCCUAAUUUCUUUCUUGGCUUGUUUCUCUUUUGUGUAGAGGAAGGCUACUGAUUUAUUUGAGUUAAUUUUAUACCCAGCCACUUUGCUGAAGUUGUUUAUCAGCUUUAGUAGUUCUCUGGUGGAACUUUUGGGAUCACUUAAAUAUACUAUCAUAUCAUCUGCAAAUAGUGAUAUUUUGACUUCUUCUUUUCCGAUCUGUAUCCCCUUGAUCUCCUUUUGUUGUCUGAUUUCUCUGGCUAGAACUUCAAGAAGUAUAUCGAAUAAGUAGGGAGAGAGUUGGCAGCCUUGUCUAGUCCCUGAUUGUAGUGGGAUUGCUUCAAGUUUCUCUCCAUUUAGUUUAAUGUUAGCUACUGGUUUGCUGUAUAUGGCUUUUACUAUGUUUAGGUAUGGACCUUGAAUUCCUGUUUGUUCCAGGACUUUUAUCAUGAAGGGGUGUUGAAUUUUGUCAAAUGCUUUCCCAGCAUCUAAUGAAAUGAUCACGUGGUUUUGUUCUUUCAGUUUGUUUAUAUAAUGGAUCACGUUGAUGGUUUUCCGUACAUUAAACCAUCCCUUCAUGCCUGGGAUGAAGCCUACUUGAUCAUGGUGGAUGAUUGUUUUGAUGUGCUCUUGGAUUCAGUUUGCCAGAAUUUUAUUGAGUAUUUUUGCGUCAAUAUUCAUAAGGGAAAUUGGUCUGAAGUUCUCUUUCUUUGUUGUGUCUUUGUGUGGUUUAGGUAUAAGAGUAAUUGUGGCUUCAUAGAAGGAAUUCGGUAGUGCUCCAUCUGUUUCAAUUUUGUGGAAUAGUUUGGAUAAUAUUGGUAUGAGGUCUUCUAUGAAGGUCUGAUAGAAUUCUGCACUAAACCCGUCUGGACCUGGACUCUCUUUGGUUGGGAGACCUUUAAUGACUGCUUCUAUUUCCUUAGGAGUUAUGGGGUUGUUUAACUGGUUUAUCUGUUCCUGAUUUAACUUCGGUACCUGGUAUCUGUCUAGGAAAUUGUCCAUUUCCUGCAGAUUUUCAAGUUUUGUUGAAUAUAGGCUUUUAUAGUAAGAUCUGAUGAUUUUUUGAAUUUCCUCUGAAUCUGUAGUUAUGUCUCCCUUUUCAUUUCUGAUUUUGUUAAUUUGUAAACACUCUCUGUGUCCUCUCGUUAGUCUGGCUAAGGGUUUAUCUCUCUUGUUGAUUUUCUCAAAGAACCAACUUUUGGUUCUGUUGAUUCUUUCUAUGGUCCUUUUUGUUUCUACUUGGUUGAUUUCAGCUCUGAGUUUGAUUAUUUCCUGCCUUCUACUCCUCCUGGGUGUAUUUGCUUCUUUUUGUUCUAGAGCUUUUAGGUGUGCUGUCAAGCUGCUGACAUAUGCUCUUUCCUGUUUCUUUCUGCAGGCACUCAGCGCUAUGAGUUUUCCUCUUAGCACAGCUUUCAUUGUGUCCCAUAAAUUUGGUAUGUUGUACCUUCAUUUUCAUUAAAUUCUAAAAAGUUUUUAAUUUCUUUCUUUAUUUCUUCCUUGACCAGGUUAUCAUUGAGUAGAGCAUUGUUCAAUUUCCACGUAUAUGUGGGCAUUCUUCCCUUAUUGUUAUUGAAGACCAGUUUUAGGCCGUGGUGGUCCGAUAGCACGCAUGGGAUUAUUUCUAUCUUUCUGUACCUGUUGAGGCCCGUUUUUUGACCAAUUAUAUGGUCAAUUUUGGAGAAAGUACCAUGAGGUGGUGAGAAGAAUGUAUAUCCUUUUGUUUUAGGAUAGAAUGUUCUAUAAGUAUCUGUUAAGUCCAUUUGGCUCAUGACUUCUCUUAGUCUGUCUAUGUCUUUGUUUAAUUUCUGUUUCCAUGAUCUGUCCAUUGAUGAAAUCUCCUACUAUUAUUGUGUGAGGUGCAAUGUGUGUUUUGAGCUUUAGUAAGGUUUCUUUUAUGUAUGUAGGUGCCCUUGUAUUUGGGGCAUAGAUAUUUAGGAUUGAGAGUUCAUCUUGGUGGAUUUUUCCUUUGAUGAAUAUGAAGUGUCCUUCCUUAUCUUUUUUGAUGAAUUUUAGUUGAAAAUUGAUUUUAUUUGAUAUUAGAAUGGCUACUCCAGCUUGUUUCUUCUGACCAUUUGCUUGGAAAGUUGUUUUCCAGCCUUUCACUCUGAGGUAGUGUCUGUCUUUGUCUCUGAGGUGUGUUUCCUGUAGGCAGCAGAAUGCAGGGUCCUUGUUGCGUAUCCAGUUUGUUAAUCUAUGUCUUUUUAUGGGGAGUUGAGGCCAUUGAUGUUGAGAGAUAUUAAGGAAUAGUGAUUACUGCUUCCUGGUACAUUCAUAUUUGGAUGUGAGGUUAUGUUUGUGUGCUUUUCUUCUCUUUGUUUUGUUGGCAAGAUGAUUAGUUUUUUGCUUUUUCUAGGGUGUAGCUUGCCUCCUUAUGUUGGGCUUUACCAUUUAUUAUCCUUUGUAGUGCUGGAUUUGUAGAAAGAUAUUGUGUAAAUUUGUUUUUAUCCUGGAAUAUGUUGGUUUUUCCAUCUAUGUUAAUUGAGAGUUUUGCAGGAUACAGUAACCUGGGCUGGCAUUUGUGUUCUCUUAGGGUCUGUAUGACAUCUGUCCAGGAUCUUCUGGCUUUCAUAGUCUCUGGCGAAAAGUCUGGUGUGAUUCUGAUAGGUCUGCCUUUAUGUGUUACUUGACCUUUUUCCCUCAUUGCUUUUAAUAUUCUUUCUUUAUUUUGUGCGUUUGGUGUUUUGACUAUUAUGUGACGGGAGGUGUUUCUUUUCUGGUCCAAUCUAUUUGGAGUUCUGUAUGCUUCUUGUAUGCCUAUGGGUAUCUCUUUCUUUAGGUUAGGGAAGUUUUCUUCUAUGAUUUUGUUGAAGAUAAUCACUGGUCCUUUGAGCUGGGAGUCUUCACUCUCUUCUAUACCUAUUAUCCUUAGGUUUGAUCUCCUCAUUGAGUCCUGGAUUUCCUGUAUGUUUUGGACCAGUAGCUUUUUCUGCUUUACAUUAUCUUUGACAGUUGAGUCGAUGAUUUCUAUGGAAUCUUCUGCUCCUGAGAUUCUCUCUUCUAUCUCUUGUAUUCUGUUGGUGAUGCUUGUAUCUGUGGCUCCUUGUCUCUUCUUUUGGUUUUCUAUAUCCAGGGUUGUUUCCAUGUGUUCUUUCUUGAUUGCUUCUAUUUCCAUUUUUAAUUCCUUCAACUGUUUGAUUGUGUUUUCCUAGAAUUCUUUCAGGGAUUUUUGUGAUUCCUCUUUGUAGCUUCUACUUUUUUAUUUAUGUUUUCCUGUGUUUGUCUAAGGGAGUUCUUCAUGUCUUUCUUGAAGUCCUCCAGCAUCAUGAUCAAAUAUGAUUUUGAAACUAGAUCUUGCUUUUCUGGUGUGUUUGGAUAUUCUGUGUUUGUUUUGGUGGGAGAAUUGGGCUCCGAUGAUGGCAUGUAGUCUUGGUUUCUGUUGCUUGGGUUCCUGCGCUUGCCUCUCGCCAUCAGAUUAGCUCUAGUGUUACUUUGUUCUGCUAUUUCUGACAGUGGCUAGACUGUCCUAUAAGCCUGUGUGUCAGGAGUGCUGUAGACCUGUUUUCCUGUUUUCUUUCAGCCAGUUAUGGGAACAGAGUGUUCUGCUUUCGGGCGUGUAGUUUUUCCUCUCCACAGGUCUUCAGCUGUUCCUGUGGGCCUGUGUCUUGAGUUCACCACGCAGGUUGCUUGCAGCAGGAAGGUUUGUCUUACCUGUGGUCCCGAGGCUCAAGUUUGCUCGUGGGGUGUUGCUUAUGAGCUCUCUGCAGCGGCAGCAACCAGGAAGAUCUGCGCCGCCCUUUCCGGGAACUUCCGUGCACCAGGGUUCCAGAUGGUGUUUGGUGUUUUCCUCUGGAAUCAGAAAUGUGGGCAGAGUGCUGUCUCUUCUGAUUUCCCAGGCGUGUCUGCCUCUCUGAAGGUUUAGCUCUCCCUCCCACGGGAUUUGGGUGCAGAGGACUGUUUAUCUGGUCAGUCCCUUCAGGUUCCGGUGGUGUCUCAGACGCAGGGGACCUGCUGCUCCUGUGCCCUUAUCUCCAGGAACCUAGAGGCCGUAUACAGUUUCCUCUUGGGCCAGGGAUGUGGGCAGGGGUGGGCAGUGUUGGUGGUCUCUUCCACUCUGCAGCCUCAGGAGUGCCCACCUAUCCGGGCGGUGAGCUCUCUCUCCCACGGGGUUUAGGAGCAGUGAGCUGCUGCAGGGUCCUUAACAUUUCUUGAUGCUGCCAGCAUCUCCAAAGCUUUUGGGCUUCAACCUUCUGGCCCCAGUGAAGACCCACGUUCCGAAGAUCUACCCUGUAUACAUCCGCAGGAUUCCCUCAGGUUGCUGACAUUUUCUGUCUCAUCUGUGAUCGCUUGACUCCUCCAUUGUUGAUUUCUGACUUGAGUCUUCUUAGCACGGGAGCAAAGCUGCCCGUGUGCUGUUAGUGUUGACCCUGACUGCGGGAGAGAUUGCAGUGAGCCAAAGGAGCACAGCUCUAUCCACUGGAAACAGUGGGAGUCCUGAAGCCAGCACAUGCUUGACACAGUUCCGGCAGAGCUGAGCCGAAUGUGAUUGCUGCCAUUUCGCCGCCAUUUCACCUCUCACUUUAGGUUUCGGUCUCUGUGUGCUGUGUUCUUGGGCACCUUCUGCACUGUGUUCCACUUUAUGUCUUUUCCCUGAGAAUUACAUCGGAGUUUUCCUUUCAGGAAACUUGUAAACUUACUGUCCCUUCUGCUUUUACGGAAAUGGCUUUAUCCAGACCUGUUUGUAAGUCUUCCUUAUGCUCUGGAGAUUAAGAUAAGCACUAAGCUAGGAAUUUCCAAAUGAAGUCACGAGUCCAGGAAUCUCUUUGGUGGGUGCCCACCCCUAAGCAAACUCAAACAGUAUAAUUGGGACAAGGGCAAACUUAGAGAUCACUGACAAACCUCGACCGGCCAGGAGAAUUGGUAACAGGUUCAAGGCCUCUUUUUUACAAUGUACUUAGAGGUCUCUGAAAAUGUAGCUUAAAGAAAGAGGUCGUACAGGGUCUACCUCCAGAGGAAUAGAAUUCAAUAAAUAAGAUAGUUUGACAAAAAUAAAUGUUUCCUGCUUUAUAACCUACAUGACGGAACCAUAUAGUCAAAGUGGAUAGGCAUUAGUGUUUGCUGUCAUAAAAAUACCAGCUCAGAUAUUUUCUGUUUGCCUGGAUUGCUUUACAACCGCAAAUACUGCCAGCCUAAAAGCAGGCCGUCAUGGCUGUCAUAUAAUAAAUGUGUUUGCUUCAGCAGAGGCAUUCUUUAGAGUUGGUGUUAAAGAGUUAAUAAUAAAGAUAAAAUCUGUUCUACUUGUAUUUUCUAAUCGUGAUUGAACUUGUAACCCAAACAUUUAAGGAGAAAACAAACACAUGUACAGAGACAAAUGGGUAAAAUCAGUAUUUCUUGGACAUUCAUUAGUCUGUCUUUGUUCUAUGAAACCUGUAUAAAUAGAAACCACCUGAUGCCCAGUCAGUCAGAGCUACAAGAUUCUCCACAAAUCUGUCUGACUGGUUCCUUCCUUACCGACUCCUUGCCUCCUCUCUGGCCGCCAUGUCAACUACUGAGGUUGGCCCCCAGCAGAAAACCCCAACAGUUAAGCUGGAUCAAACUCCCAAAUAACUAAGGUCCCAAGUCAUCCCCGACAUUUACUUUUCGUGGCUACAGAAACAAGGUGGGAUAUAUAGGGAUCUUACUACUUUUCUCUUCCUUUUCACUUUUUUUUUUUUAAAGAAUUUUACUUUAGUGGUUAAGCGUGGGCAUUGCUUUUACAGAAGACCCUUAUUCAGUUUGAGGCAUCAGUGUCUGUCAGAUGGCUCAACAUCACCUGUAACUGCAGCCUGUUUGAUGUACCUGGCCUGCAGAGGUCUCAUAUGUGUGUAUAGGUAACACAUGGUGCCAGUGUGGAGGCCUGAAGACAGCUCUCGGGAGUGGAUUCUCUCCUUCCACUUUCAGGGGACUGAACUCAGGUCAUUAUGUGGGUAUAUGCCUUUAAUCUGAGCAUUGGGAUUCAGAGACAAGGAGAUCUCUCUCAGUCAAGUCUGGUAUACAAAAUGAGUUGGGGGCCAGUCAGGGCUACAUAAGGACUUAAUCCCGACCCAGAAAUCAAACAGAAACCGUGACAUUCCAUAUCAUAAAGCAAUUACAAAAUAAAGGUGUGGGCUGGAGAGAUGGCUCAGCAGUUAAGGGCACUUGUCCUUGCAGAGGACUGAGGUUUGGUUCCCAGCACCCACACAUCGGCUCUCAACCAUCCAUAACUCCGGACCCAGUGAUCUGACACAGUCUUGGCCUCCGCCAGCACCAGGCACAUGUGUGGUAUACAGACAUAGAAGCAGGCAGCAUCCCUGGGUAGAGGGAUCCUGCAUUGUGUAAGACUGGAGAAAGUGAGCUGACAGUUGUCGUGCAAGCAUCUAUUACUGCUCUCUUCAUCUUAAAGGGGAUGCCUUGACCAGUUGCCUGGAGGGGCUGCUGCUGUGACUUUUCUACCUUGAGGGAGCCUGGAUAUAACCUGGAACUGGGGGCCAGUAUAACCCCCCUUUUGUCAAUGUGUUUUAUCACAGUGAAAGAGAAGCUAAGACACGUGAAUGGUCAUCAUGUGACCACUACGCCUUUUUCCUUUGAAACUCUGUUUUCUUUCUCCUGACUAGAGCUUCAUUUUAACUAACAAUACAUUUGUUUGAGACAAAGUUUCACUCCACCGCUCAGGCUAGCCUGAGACUUACUACUGCAAACCAGACCCGCCUGCAACUUACAGUGAGUCUCUUCCACAGCCUCUGGCGUGCUGGGAUUACUGGUGUCCGUUACAAUGACUUAGGGUCCUUUGCUGAGCCUUGAGCUCACUGAUUUGCUGGACUGGCUGAACUGGGGAUCCACCCGUCUCUCUCUCCCCAGUGCUCAUGUUACGGGUGCACUGCCAUACACGGCUUUUUAUAUAGGUGCUGGGGGUCUGAACCCAGGUCAGGUUUACACAGCAAGCACAUCACCAACUUAGCUAUCUAGUGUGUAUAUGCAUGUAUUCCUGUGUGCUACAUUCAUGCAGUGCCCACGGAGGCCACACACACACACACACACACACACACACACACACACACACACACACACGGGACGGGAGCUGGGGCUGCAGGAAUCAAGUUAUACCUAGAGAAAGAAGAACAGAGAACAGUGUCCAGUGUCCUCCCAUAUGCUGCUCAGGGGAAGAGUAGGGUAGGUGUCUGGGAAGGAGAGGUUGGAAAUGUACUUUAGAACUCAGUCACGGAGUGCUCAGUCCUGCUCUAGGGGAGCAAGGGACAAGCCUCGAGGUCAACAUCAGAACCUGGUGCAUCUCCCUGGAGGCUGACAAGGAGUCUGUGGAAGAGAAAGGGACGCUGAUGCUUCUACUCUUCACCCUUCAGGGCCACAGUGAUGCAUCGUGUGGUCUGACCAAUCACACUCCUAGAUGCCGAGCUGGGGCAGCAAUCUCUAGCUUGUGUGUUUCUCUGCGGGAGGCUCUUAGGAUUCAGAUACCUUCCACCCUGAGGCGAGCAGCAUUUUCAACACUCACAAAGACCCAUUCUUGGUAAUUGUUUGGCUUAUCGCAUUUCCAAACACAGGCGAAUCCAUCUGUGUUCGCUCCUCUCGGAGGAUGAGAGCCCUCACGUUUCCCCCAACUUUCCGUGAACAAUGAGGGUCAUGAACAUUGAAGGCAAAGAAAGAGCUCUGGGCCAUACCCAAACUGUCAUGGCUGGGAGCCAGAGUUGGAGCCAGCCUCUCAGUUGCUCCUCUGCUUUUCACGGCUGGCGGAUUGAGCUCAGGAGAAUUUGUAAACCUAAGGGAAAGGUGUCAAAGAGGAUGGGGAAGCAAGAUCUUAGUACUCUAGUCUAUUAAAAAAAAAUCAAUGGGGAGAAUCGAGGACAUAUUAGGGGACUUGCAUAGACUUCUGGGGUAUUCUAAGAAUGCUGUGGGUUAAGGGAUUCUGUGAACUCUGCUGGGAAGCUGCCGACCUCUGUGGGAAAGUGUGUUCCUGACUUUCAAAUCGGGAUGUCUGGGACAUGUCUCCACCAUCAACAUUCCUGAGGGAUUCACAGGAAUUCUGCUGUUUGAUGUCACAGAUGGGGCUGCAGCCAGAGGCUCCGUACGGUGAGAACACAUGGUGGAUGUAAGCGUUGACUUUUAUCCCCACAGAGAAGGGAAAUUUUCUACUAACAAGAGUAGUAUUUCUAGUGCCAGAACCCUAUCCAUCCGUAUCUUAUGGAAAGACAAGAAGCUCAGAAGCUGCUGGAAGGGAGCCCAGCGCUCAGGACCCCAGGAAACAGCCAGAGUUCUGUUGCUGGUACGCCCGACUUGGUUUCCUCCCAUGCUGUCGUGGAAUCUGUAUGGCCGACAAUAUCCCCGGAUCCUGGACUACCUUCAAAGCCUAUCUGGCCACAAGUGUGACAUUGAUGCAGUGUCUCAUUUCCCUUUUCACUCUGGGGACAAGUGACAUUGGCACUAUGCCUGGGCAGACCCUGAGAAGCUAUGGAAGGGGUUAAAGGUUUCCGUGACCAGCACCUGGCAGGCUCUGUCUGCUUCCAGAGAAUGUUACUUCUCAACGGCUUCUGUUUCUUUUUGGUUAGAAACAGAAACAAAAUAUCUAUCUUGUGUAGAUUUGGUUUACAAAAAAAUAACUCAGAAAAAUGUACAAUAGUGGCUAAGCUUCUCUCAAUACCACUGCUGGGAUACAGUGGUUGACAUGCACAGAGAGCUGUGUGCGAUGUGUUUCAUGAGUAUUUCUUCCCAUUCCGGUAGCGUCACAGCGAUGAAGUUGCCUAAGUGAUGCUUUUCUCAGCAUGUACCACCAUGGUCAAGUGACUUGUGGCUGUAUGAAUUCACAUGCACACAGAAAUGGAAGGGUUAGGAGUUACAGGAAAAAAAAUAAUGAGUGGCCAGCCCCGCCCCAUUUUCUCUUUAGAAAUUUAAUUUGCUAGGGGGUGGGCUCAAAGGUAGAGCACUGUCUAGCAGGUGCGAAGCUUUAUAUUCAAGCCAUAGUACUGAGGUGGAAUCUGUCUUUGAUGGCUCUGUAUACACAAUGGCAUGUUUAGACAGCAUUCUUCCCUGGGGUGCUGGGUUCACAGCACCUACCUCAUGGACUGCACUGUGCGUUUCACAGAGGUCAUGGGAGCUGUCUGUGGAAAAAUGUCUGAUGACUUCUCCCAUUGAUGAAAUCCAGAGACCAAAGGCAGAGGCCUUUCCAAACUUGAGCUGUAGAAGCUUCUAUUACCACAGACUACGGCAUUUACCAGCAACCAGAAAAGGAAGGUACGGGGGCUGGACAGACAGCUCAGCAGUUAGGAGCACUGACUAUUCUUCCAGAAGACUCAGGUUCUGUUCAAUUCCCAGCACCUACGUGGCAGUUGACGACACCCUCACACAGAUGUACAUGCUGGCAAAACACGAAUGCACUUAUAAAAUAAGUUCUUUGUUUUUUGUUUUAAAAGGAAGUUAUGACAUUAAAUAAUGGGGUAAAUUCAUUCCAUCUUGGGGAAGUAUGGAACACUUUUUUUUUUGUUCGUUUCUUUUGUUCUUUGUUUUUUAAGGGCGUGAUGGGCUCUAUCUAGUUGGGGUUGAGAAAGCUGCUCAGAACCAUUUUUUUUUAAAGAUUUAUUUAUUUUACGUAUAUAAGUACACUGUGGCUGUCUUCAGACACAUCAGAAGAGGGCAUCAGAUCUCAUUACAGAUGGUUGUGAGCCACCAUGUGGUUGCUGGGAUUUGAACUCAGGACCUUUGUAAGAGCAGUCAGUGCUCUUAACCACUGAGCCAUCUCUCUCCAGCCCCAGAACCAUUUUUUAAAAUAGAUUAGAAUAGAUAAGAUCUCACUGUUCAGCUCUUCUGAGAUAGGAGGAGGAGCAUAUGGACUUUACUGUGUAGCUACUUUGGUUCAAGGCCAGCUUUGGGAUAUAUAUAUUCCCGGGGGGAGGGAAUAAAACUAUUUACAGAAAUAAGGAUGUUUGCCACGAUUGCUCAGGAGUGAAUUUUGGUGAGGAAUGAUCAAGAUGACUGUCCCCCCUCUCUUCCCUCCCUCAAGCCCUCCUUCUCCUCCCACCCCCCUCUUCAAACACUUAGACCACACUAGCUUUAACUUCAUGGAGACCCACCUGCCCCUGUCUCCCCAGUGCUGGGUUCAAAGGUUUAACUGGCCUAAUUUUACCCCUUUGCUCUAGAAUUAAUAAUGGGUUGAGGUGGGAGGACACUCCUUUAACCCAGCAUUGGGGAGGCAGAGGCAGAGGCAGAGGUAGGCAGCUCUCAGUGAGUUCAAGCAUUGCUACACCAUUUAUCUCUUUGCUUUUUUAUUUACUUUAGUUUUAUAUCUUAUUUUGGGACAAGGUCUUGCUAUGUAGAUCUGGCAGGCCUGGUACUCACUGUGCAUCCCCCACCCCCACCACCAAUGGCCUAAAACUUGAAACAGUCCUCCUGGGUUCUGGGAGUAUGCCCGCCUCCCAACUCUUCUCUUUCUGCGUUUUUCGUUCUCUCAGUGCACCUGACUUCCUAUUACACACACACACACACACACACACACACACACACACACACACACACACACACACACAUUAAUAUAGAUCCAUACAGAGACCAGAAAGGAUGACGGAUCCCCUGGAGAUGAGUUACAGACGGUUGUGAGCUGCCUGACAUGGGUGUGGGAACUGAACUCCGGCCUUCUGCAAGAGCAGUACGACCCUUAACCAUUGAGCUUUCUCUCUAGCCCCAAGGGGAGGUGAGGAUGUUUGCCUCCUGUGUUUUCACAAAAGAUUCCCAGGGUUAUAAUCUACUGGCCAACACCACCAUCUGAGUUUAUAUGUACAGUUUUGGACCCAUACCCUGUGAGUCGCCCUCCCAUCCCAAAACAAAACAAAGAAUGUGGUAGUCAUCAACACUUAAGCACUGAGGAAUUUGACAGAAAAACCUGUAUGUUCUGCUAGUGUUAAAAAGUAGAGGUUCGGGCUGGAGAGAUGGCUCAGUGGUUAAAAGCACCGACUGCUCUUCCAGAGGUCCUGAGUUCAAAUCCCAGCAACCACAUGAUGGCUCACAACCAUCUGAAAUGAGACCUGAUGCCCUCUUCUGGUGUGUGAAGACAGCUACAGUGUGCUCAUAUAUAAUAAAUCUUUAAAAAAAAAAAGUAGAGGUUCUGGGGACAUUAGCUUCCCACUGUAGCACGAGAAUACAUGAUUCUAUUUGGAAACGUGACUGCCCAGGUUCUCACAGCAUCUCUACAUGCCACUCCCCCCCACCUUGCUUAUUUAUAUGACCCAAUCAAUGUUGACAGGAGUCUUAGAGCCCCGCCCUCCCAGCGUGACAGCAGUCACCAAUAGGAACAGCGUGGCUACUUGAUACUGGGUCUGCGGACUGGUGAUGCUCUUUCACUAAAGUGGGGGCGUCCCUGGAGCCUCACCUGAGAUUGCAGGCUCUCCUCGUGCAUCUUCUCCUGGCCAGUUGUUUACAAUUCUACCCUAAUUGCACGUGGUUCGAGGGAGGUGCUAGAGUGUGAACAGGUUAGCCGAAGGGGCGGGGCACAUCUACGCUGCUGCUGCUGCUGCUGCUGCUGCUGCUGCUGCUGCUGCUGCUGCUGCUGCUGCUGCUGCUGCUGCUGCUGCUGCUGCUGCUGCUGCUGCUCCUCCUCCUCCUCCUCCUCCUCCUCCUUCCCCCCUAGGGAACCCAUCCUCCGUGUGGGGCUGAGAUUUUCCCAGUGUAGCUGCUUUGUUGUCACCAUGCUCUUGUAAGGAGCCCUGUCCUCUGUAAGAAGCCCUUUGUAAGUAAGCCGGGUAACCUCAUUGGCUCCCCAAGUUGGACUCCGUGGAACUGAACUUUGGUUUGUCAUUGGUCCCUCUAAGGAUAGAUGCUUGCUUAUACCAAACUGGUGUCCCCCACCCCCACCCCCGCCCAGGGAAAGACUACAAGCGUUUAAAAUUUCAACUCCUGGACUAUCGGCCAGAGUCCAGUUCUUUAGCCUCAUAUAGAGAUGGGUGAUUCCUACUGACGUUUUGAGAUUACUUCUACCAUUUUCUCCUCCUACCUUUAUAUCUGGAAAAGAAGUUUCUCCCAAGAUCCUCACCGGGUCACCCUCAGGACUCCUGAUACACUGGAAACCCGUCUCCACUCACCGAACCAUUUUUAUUUUCUGAAGGCUGUUCCUUAUCUUUGUAGCUUUGACUGAAAAAAAAAAAAAACCACCUCGGGGAUAAUUGAAGCUCACUUCAGGUGUGUCUGUGAGAGCUCGUCCUAAGGUCCGUUGGCUACUCCCUCAUCAGAGCUGAUUACGUUUCUGUCAGUUGCUGCAAUGACCUCCUAGUUCAUGUUCCAGCUCUAACUUUACACCUCUGCUGAUCAGAAGGAUGAAUUUUAAAAUUCUACCACGUCGACCAGCUCCUCACCGACGUUAUAUCCUCGAGUGGACAAAGAUCGAAUGAAUCUGUGAUCAGCCUGGAGUGGAGACGCGGAAGCCUUGUUCAGCACAUGUCAGUGAUUGACAGAAGGUGGAGGGAGUGAGGGCUGACCAUUCCUGCAACUAUGUUUGAAAUUACUGGACUCUCAUUCUGUGCAAGGGUUAAAGGGUGACCUGGGGAGGCAGGGGGAAAGACUGAUCUCGACGUUCAGGAUGGAGAGCACAGGAUGAAAGCAGACUGGAAUGAGAAGAGAGAAGAACGAAAUUAGAAUCAUAACUUUGGCUUCUAAUGAGUUGGCAAGCAAGAGGGGUUUUUCUCACUAAUGCAAAGGAAAUGAUUUUUUUUUUUUAUAAAUCCCAGCAGUGUCUGAAACCAUCUCCUAAAAAGAUGUGAAGAAAGGGACACUCACAGACACCACACAGGAGGAGGGAAAUCUAAAACAGGGUAUGGAGUUAUAUUUCCUUUUGAAGUUGGGGAGAGGAGCAAAGAAACUCCUUUGUGUGUGAAAAAAGUGUGAUUCAUUUGUUCAUCCCUCCCCCUUCCCCUCUGUCUCUGUCUCUGUCUCUGUCUCUGUCUGUCUGUCUGUCUGUCUCUUGCCACAACCAUUUUUAUGAACUUGGGAUGUCUGUUUCUGACAUCUGCACAAGCAUUUCAAGGUAAGUAUGUUAGGUGUCAGUGCAGACCAGGGCUGGGCUGGUGAGCAGGUCAGUGAGAUUAACAGUGCUUGCAGCCAAGCCUGGGGUUCUGUGUGCAAUGGUGGGACACAAGAACCAACUCCUACAAGUCAUACUGUGAUCAUGGCACCUGCAUGCUUACACACACACACACACACACACACACACAGGCACGCACACACACGGUAGUUUUAUUCCUUAAAAAUAAAUAAAUAAAAGGACACAGAUCUGACUAAAGGCACAGCAUGUGGUCUCCGGGCCAGUCUGCGUCCUAAAUGGUUAAAUCUGGUUUGUUCUGUAUCAAAAUCCAAGAGAAUUAAAAGUACAGCAUGAAGGCUGACAGCAGAUGAAAGACAGAGGUGUCGAGUCUCACUCUGUGAGGCACAAAGACAGAUGGACUAGUUAAGAACCUAAUCAAAUGAGGCGAAGUCCCAUUUCCUGGGCUGGGCAAUCUACCUACUCGGGAACACAGAGGAUUUAUGGGGAAGACGGUUUGCAUCUAUUAAAAUACAUCUGGCUCCAUUUGAGGCAGAAGCAUUUGAAUCUGACAGCAAUGGAACAGCCAGAAAAUAACCAUCAUGAAACGGUGAUUUUGUUGCAACGUACCUAAAAAUACCACCAUCAAAAGCUUACUCAACAGUGCCUUCGAGUUACAUACUCUAUAAAAAGAAAAAAAAAAAACAGGAAAGGCAUUUUACAGUAAACAUGUAUUAGGGCUGGUAGAGGAAGCCCAGGAGAGGGAGAUGAGAAGGGACAGUUGAACCUCCGUUUACACACAGGCUGUGGAAAGUUCUGGUGGCGUCCAUCCGUGGGCUGUGGGAUCCAGCUUGCUUUUGCACAGCGUUGCCUGAGGCAGCUAGCAGGAAGGAAGGACUUUGUAUCUAAUUCAUUUCCUCAGAGCAAAGAGCUUUUUGACAGUUAUCUCCCCAAGAAGGGUGAUGUCUCUCUAAGCCAUUAAAAGCCAUGCAGGAAUGCUGUGGUACACAAACAGGUCAGGUUGGAUCCUUAGAUUGCUAGGUAGGGUUUGGUUGUGUCAGGAGACCUUGACUUCUCAAAUUCUACACUCUUCUGUUGUCCCCUUUCCUCCCUCCUUCCCCCAUUGCUUCCCCACUCCUCUUUCUUUUUCGUUUUCUGACCCAAGAUUUCACUGUGUAGUCCAGGCUUCAAGCCACAACAAUCCACUUGCCUUAGCCCUCUGCAUCCUGGGAUUAAACGUUUGUGGCACCAAUAUACCUUUGCCAAAAUCUAAACUGUCAUCGGCAACAUAAUCUGGGUCACUUUACAGUGUUGAUGUGACAAUUAAAUAUGUCCACACUCCCUAUGUCCACGUGGAAAGUGGUCAUUAACUCCUCAGACUCCACCUGAAUUCACGACCAUCUGCAAUGGCAUCUAAUGCCCUCUUCUGGUGUGUCUGAAGACAGCUGCAGUGUACCCAUAAAAUAAAUAAAUCUUAGAAAAAAAAAGCUCUAUAUUUCCAGGGUCAGGGGUUUAUAUGAUCAAGGGCCUCGGACACGUGGCAGGGUUUGCCCAGCAAGUCCAAGGCUCUGGUUCAAUCCCCAACAUUGUGGAAAUCAUAUUACACGGCGAUGCAACCAGGCCAUAGUUCUGUGAAUAUUGACUAUUACAUUCAGAACAUUGAUGUGGUUGUCUUAACCCGGCCAUUAAGUGACACAGUAUUGUCACUUAAAUUGUCCUAAAUUGAAUCCAGUAGACGUUUGCACAACUAAUGGCUACAGGUUCAUAGUAGUGUGUGUGUGUGUGUGUGAGUGUGUGUGUGUGUGAGUGUGUGAGUGUGUGGUGUGUUUAUGUGAGUGUGUAUGUGGUGUGUUUAUAUGAGUGUGUGUGUGGUGUGUUUAUGUGAGUGUGUGAGAGUGUGAGUGCUUGUGUGGAAUGUGGUGUGAAUAUGAGUGUGUGUAUGUGAUUGUGCGUGUAUAUUUGUGAUAAUGUGUUUGUGAGUAUGAGUGUAUGUGUGUAUGUGAGUUUGUGUCUGUGUAUGAUGUGUACACGUGUGAGUGUGUGUGUGGUGCAUGUGAGUAUGUGUAUGUGAAUGUGUGUGUGAGUAUAUAUGUGUGUGGUCUGUGUGUGAGUGUGUGUGUGGUAUGUGUAUAUGAGAAUGAGUGUAUGUGUGUAUGAGAGUUUGUGUUUGUGUUUGUGUAUGAUGUGUAUAUGUGUGCGUGUGUGUGCGGUAUGUGUAUAUGAGAAGUGUAUGUGUGGUGUGUAUAAUGUCUGUGUGGUGUGCUGUGCAUGUGAGUGUAUAUUUGUGGUAUAUGUGUAUGAGUGUAUGUGUGUGUCCAAAUUUGUGUUUGUGGUAUAUGAUGUGUAUAUGUGUGAGUGUGUAUGUGGUAUGUGUGGUGCAUGUGGGUAUAUGUGUGUGUGAAUGUGUAAGUAUAUGUGUGUGUGUAUGUGUAUGUGUGAAUGUGUGUGUGUAUAAUAUCUGUGUGGUGUGAGUGUGUGUAUGUAGUAGAAGUCAUGGAGUGCUCCAAGCACUGAGCCUUUGCGUGCUGUAGAAAGACAUAUUUAAUUUUUUCAUUAACAUUUUAAACCUUUAUUUAUUUGAUUUUAUGUGUGAAUGUCUUCCCUGUAUUCACAUGUGGGCGUCAUGUGUGUGCCUGUUGGAUCCCCUGGAACUGGGGUUAUGGUGGUUGUGAGCCACCAUGCUGCUUGCUGGGACUCUAUGGAAGAGCGGUGUCUUUGGAAAUGUUGAGCCCUAUUUUUAGCCUCACCAAAGAGAUUUCUUUUAUAUAAAUAAAUUUCCCAACGUGAUUGUUCUUCAGAGACCAAUCAGGCAGAAUUAUCCUUUUGGGUCUAUCUGUUCAGGGGUCAGGGGACAAUAUCAGAUCAGACCAGACUCAUCUCAGAUUACAGGGACCACUGCAUCCUGUCCGGGCUGAUCAGUCGGCACGGCGAGCUGCCGUCAUAGCUUUUGUACCCACAGACAGCAUCACAAACAAAGCGGUACGGGGCGCGUGUGUGAACUUGCAGGGGACUCUGACGAAGCCGAAGAAGAUUCUCAUCCACCUCGUCACUGAGCAUGAGCGGAUACCAUGAGCUGGCUCCCCGCCGGCUGGGAGCACAUGCGACACCCGAGUUUCACAGUUUCACGUAGGUGUUGGAACUGCUGGUGCGGAGGUCACAGGAGAUGGUGAGCCACGCCUGAUGCUGGCCGUGACGUCAGGGCAACACUCAGCCAGAGUCCCUCUAAGGAGAUGAAGCCACAGCCAGCCUGGGAGGUCCCCUAGGACCUCUGUGAGAGGACCCUGGCUUGGUUUCCAGCACCUACAUGAUGACUCAGUCACAUCUGUCACUUCAGUCCAGGGAAUCAGAUGUCCUCUUCUGACUGUCAUGGGCAACAGGCAUAUGUGCAAAAUAAAUCUUAAAAAAUGAAAACCAAGAUGUCCCAACAGGUAAAGGCACUUGCUACUAAGCCCAACGACCCGAGUUUGGUCCCUGAGACCCUCAUGGUGAAUGGAAAAAGCAGACUGAACCAUGUCACCUUCUGACAUCUACAUGUGUGCCAUGUGCCUCCCCUGAAUAAAUACACAGAUGUUAUAAAAACAAAA
Molecule: non-coding RNA, 19216 nt
Organism: Rattus norvegicus (Norway rat)
Lineage: Eukaryota; Metazoa; Chordata; Mammalia; Rodentia; Muridae
Source: RefSeq, a predicted model, not a curated record